AUUGAACGCUGGCGGCAGGCCUAACACAUGCAAGUCGAGCGGUAGAGAGAAGCUUGCUUCUCUUGAGAGCGGCGGACGGGUGAGUAAUGCCUAGGAAUCUGCCUGGUAGUGGGGGAUAACGUUCGGAAACGGACGCUAAUACCGCAUACGUCCUACGGGAGAAAGCAGGGGACCUUCGGGCCUUGCGCUAUCAGAUGAGCCUAGGUCGGAUUAGCUAGUUGGUGAGGUAAUGGCUCACCAAGGCGACGAUCCGUAACUGGUCUGAGAGGAUGAUCAGUCACACUGGAACUGAGACACGGUCCAGACUCCUACGGGAGGCAGCAGUGGGGAAUAUUGGACAAUGGGCGAAAGCCUGAUCCAGCCAUGCCGCGUGUGUGAAGAAGGUCUUCGGAUUGUAAAGCACUUUAAGUUGGGAGGAAGGGUUGUAGAUUAAUACUCUGCAAUUUUGACGUUACCGACAGAAUAAGCACCGGCUAACUCUGUGCCAGCAGCCGCGGUAAUACAGAGGGUGCAAGCGUUAAUCGGAAUUACUGGGCGUAAAGCGCGCGUAGGUGGUUUGUUAAGUUGGAUGUGAAAUCCCCGGGCUCAACCUGGGAACUGCAUUCAAAACUGACUGACUAGAGUAUGGUAGAGGGUGGUGGCAUUUCCUGGGCAGCGGUGAAGGCGUAAAUUUAGUAAGGAUACAUUUGUUCAGUGUGGCGACUUUGUGUCAUUCCUGGAGUUGUUCGAGUUCUCGCGGGGAGAUAAACUGAUUAGGAACGUGCAAGAGGGAUGUUCGAUUGGGAGAGGGGGGGGGGGGGGCACGCUCCCCGGGGGGGGGGGGGGGGGGGGAAGUCCAAUCCAUUUAUUUCUCUUUUAGUUUACUCUUCUCUGC
This 874-nucleotide ribosomal RNA is filed under the name Peptostreptococcus anaerobius. Its description in RNAcentral is "partial 16S ribosomal RNA". The stretch from base 1 to 755 matches the Rfam family "Bacterial small subunit ribosomal RNA". The record is from RNAcentral. Lineage: Bacteria; Bacillati; Bacillota; Clostridia; Peptostreptococcales; Peptostreptococcaceae.